Molecule: ribosomal RNA, 513 nt
Filed under: uncultured bacterium
Lineage: Bacteria
Description: bacterial SSU rRNA
Rfam family: Bacterial small subunit ribosomal RNA
Source: RNAcentral
GAUAACCCGGCGAAAGUCGGACUAAUACCUUAUGAGGUUUUCAGCAGACAUCUAAAGAAAACGAAAGAUUUAUCGGUCAGUGAUGGGGAUGCGUCUGAUUAGCUUGUUGGCGGGGUAACGGCCCACCAAGGCAACGAUCAGUAGGGGUUCUGAGGGGAAGGUCCCCCACAUUGGAACUGAGACACGGUCCAAACUCCUACGGGAGGCAGCAGUGAGGAAUAUUGGUCAAUGGGCGCGAGCCUGAACCAGCCAAGUAGCGUGCAGGAUGACGGCCCUAUGGGUUGUAAACUGCUUUUGUAUGGGGAUAAAGUCAAUCACGUGUGAUUGUUUGCAGGUACCAUACGAAUAAGGACCGGCUAAUUCCGUGCCAGCAGCCGCGGUAAUACGGAAGGUCCGGGCGUUAUCCGGAUUUAUUGGGUUUAAAGGGAGCGUAGGCCGGAGAUUAAGUGUGUUGUGAAAUGUAGACGCUCAACGUCUGACUUGCAGCGCAUACUGGUUUCCUUGAGUACGCAC